This 2892-nucleotide ribosomal RNA is filed under the name Pseudomonas syringae pv. syringae. Its description in RNAcentral is "bacterial LSU rRNA". It matches the Rfam family "Bacterial large subunit ribosomal RNA". The record is from RNAcentral. Lineage: Bacteria; Pseudomonadati; Pseudomonadota; Gammaproteobacteria; Pseudomonadales; Pseudomonadaceae.
UCAAGUGAAGAAGCGCAUACGGUGGAUGCCUUGGCAGUCAGAGGCGAUGAAAGACGUGGUAGCCUGCGAAAAGCUUCGGGGAGUCGGCAAACAGACUGUGAUCCGGAGAUGUCUGAAUGGGGGAACCCAGCCAUCAUAAGAUGGUUAUCUUGUACUGAAUACAUAGGUGCAAGAGGCGAACCAGGGGAACUGAAACAUCUAAGUACCCUGAGGAAAAGAAAUCAACCGAGAUUCCCUUAGUAGUGGCGAGCGAACGGGGACCAGCCCUUAAGUUGUAUUGAGAUUAGCGGAACGUUCUGGAAAGGACGGCCAUAGUGGGUGAUAGCCCUGUACGCGAAAAUCCCUUUGCAAUGAAAUCGAGUAGGACGGGGCACGAGAAACCUUGUCUGAAUAUGGGGGGACCAUCCUCCAAGGCUAAAUACUACUGACUGACCGAUAGUGAACCAGUACCGUGAGGGAAAGGCGAAAAGAACCGCGGAGAGCGGAGUGAAAUAGAUCCUGAAACCGUAUGCGUACAAGCAGUGGGAGCCCACUUUGUUGGGUGACUGCGUACCUUUUGUAUAAUGGGUCAGCGACUUAUUUUCAGUGGCGAGCUUAACCGAAUAGGGGAGGCGUAGCGAAAGCGAGUCUUAAUAGGGCGUCUAGUCGCUGGGAAUAGACCCGAAACCGGGCGAUCUAUCCAUGGGCAGGUUGAAGGUUGGGUAACACUAACUGGAGGACCGAACCGACUACCGUUGAAAAGUUAGCGGAUGACCUGUGGAUCGGAGUGAAAGGCUAAUCAAGCUCGGAGAUAGCUGGUUCUCCUCGAAAGCUAUUUAGGUAGCGCCUCAUGUAUCACUGUAGGGGGUAGAGCACUGUUUCGGCUAGGGGGUCAUCCCGACUUACCAAACCGAUGCAAACUCCGAAUACCUACAAGUGCCGAGCAUGGGAGACACACGGCGGGUGCUAACGUCCGUCGUGAAAAGGGAAACAACCCAGACCGUCAGCUAAGGUCCCAAAGUCAUGGUUAAGUGGGAAACGAUGUGGGAAGGCUUAGACAGCUAGGAGGUUGGCUUAGAAGCAGCCACCCUUUAAAGAAAGCGUAAUAGCUCACUAGUCGAGUCGGCCUGCGCGGAAGAUGUAACGGGGCUCAAACCAUGCACCGAAGCUACGGGUAUCAUCUUAGGAUGAUGCGGUAGAGGAGCGUUCUGUAAGCCUGUGAAGGUGAGUUGAGAAGCUUGCUGGAGGUAUCAGAAGUGCGAAUGCUGACAUGAGUAACGACAAUGGGUGUGAAAAACACCCACGCCGAAAGACCAAGGUUUCCUGCGCAACGUUAAUCGACGCAGGGUUAGUCGGUCCCUAAGGCGAGGCUGAAAAGCGUAGUCGAUGGAAAACAGGUUAAUAUUCCUGUACUUCUGGUUAUUGCGAUGGAGGGACGGAGAAGGCUAGGCCAGCCUGGCGUUGGUUGUCCAGGUUUAAGGUGGUAGGCUGAGAUCUUAGGUAAAUCCGGGAUCUUAAGGCCGAGAGCUGAUGACGAGUGUUCUUUUAGAACACGAAGUGGUUGAUGCCAUGCUUCCAAGAAAAGCUUCUAAGCUUCAGGUAACCAGGAACCGUACCCCAAACCGACACAGGUGGUUGGGUAGAGAAUACCAAGGCGCUUGAGAGAACUCGGGUGAAGGAACUAGGCAAAAUGGCACCGUAACUUCGGGAGAAGGUGCGCCGGUGGAGGUGAAGCAUUUACUGCGUAAGCCCCUGCCGGUCGAAGAUACCAGGCCGCUGCGACUGUUUAUUAAAAACACAGCACUCUGCAAACACGAAAGUGGACGUAUAGGGUGUGACGCCUGCCCGGUGCCGGAAGGUUAAUUGAUGGGGUUAGCGCAAGCGAAGCUCUUGAUCGAAGCCCCGGUAAACGGCGGCCGUAACUAUAACGGUCCUAAGGUAGCGAAAUUCCUUGUCGGGUAAGUUCCGACCUGCACGAAUGGCGUAACGAUGGCGGCGCUGUCUCCACCCGAGACUCAGUGAAAUUGAAAUCGCUGUGAAGAUGCAGUGUAUCCGCGGCUAGACGGAAAGACCCCGUGAACCUUUACUAUAGCUUUGCACUGGACUUUGAAUUUGCUUGUGUAGGAUAGGUGGGAGGCUUUGAAGCGUGGACGCCAGUCUGCGUGGAGCCAACCUUGAAAUACCACCCUGGCAACUUUGAGGUUCUAACUCAGGUCCGUUAUCCGGAUCGAGGACAGUGUAUGGUGGGUAGUUUGACUGGGGCGGUCUCCUCCUAAAGAGUAACGGAGGAGUACGAAGGUGCGCUCAGACCGGUCGGAAAUCGGUCGUAGAGUAUAAAGGCAAAAGCGCGCUUGACUGCGAGACAGACACGUCGAGCAGGUACGAAAGUAGGUCUUAGUGAUCCGGUGGUUCUGUAUGGAAGGGCCAUCGCUCAACGGAUAAAAGGUACUCCGGGGAUAACAGGCUGAUACCGCCCAAGAGUUCAUAUCGACGGCGGUGUUUGGCACCUCGAUGUCGGCUCAUCACAUCCUGGGGCUGAAGCCGGUCCCAAGGGUAUGGCUGUUCGCCAUUUAAAGUGGUACGCGAGCUGGGUUUAGAACGUCGUGAGACAGUUCGGUCCCUAUCUGCCGUGGACGUUUGAGAUUUGAGAGGGGCUGCUCCUAGUACGAGAGGACCGGAGUGGACGAACCUCUGGUGUUCCGGUUGUCACGCCAGUGGCAUUGCCGGGUAGCUAUGUUCGGAAAAGAUAACCGCUGAAAGCAUCUAAGCGGGAAACUUGCCUCAAGAUGAGAUCUCACUGGAACCUUGAGUUCCCUGAAGGGCCGUCGAAGACUACGACGUUGAUAGGUUGGGUGUGUAAGCGCUGUGAGGCGUUGAGCUAACCAAUACUAAUUGCCCGUGAGGCUUGACCAU